GUGCGGCUUAUGCCACAUGAAUAAUGGGGACAAUAUUUAUUUCUGGCACAGUGCUAUCCUGCCUUAGCGCUGGCAGGCUACAGUGGCAUCAUUACUCUGUUUCCCAACCAGGUGCUGUGUGUUAAGAGCCAAGGAUAGCGCUGUGAGCAGAAAUCUGCUCUUCUGACUCUACCUUGUCAUGCUGUUCGGUGGCCCAGGGUUGCUGGAGCUGGGUCUUCGUGCAGCACCGCACACCCCGUUUCAUGCCGAGUGCUCUGCGCUGCGGUUCGAGCUGGUGCUGGCGCAGGGCUCAGCUUUCUAGCGAGCCGGCGUCGCAGCCAGCUUCACCCUGCGACGGGGGACACGUGUGGACUGCUGAUGCAGCCCAGCUGCACAAGCGGUCGUGCGGGAAAGCAGAGCCUUAACCUGGGGCAGCUGUGGCCAAACUGGUUGUCCGCCCACGCUGGGCCCAUAUGAUCCCUCUCAGGAUGGAAACACCAGCUCCUUUGUGGGCAGAGAGCAUUUUGUAUUAGCUCUUGUGGCUUUCUUGUCUGUUCUGCCCAGUGCUGCUGGGGGCUUGGACUGAGUAGGUAAGAAAUAAAGCUGAGCCCCUUUUCCAGGAGCAAGGAGCCCAGCUUUCCUGAGCUGGGAUGCUCCAGCUCCUUCCUGGUGUGAUGCUCUGCUGGCUUCCUCGCUGGGAUGAAGCUCACCUGCAGCAACCAGGACUCGGCUGGCAAAACACUGUGCUGUAUUGUCCAACAGGGAGCAGCUCGCACGAGAGGGAGGAAGGGGAGGAACCGUGGACGGCAGAGGGUGAUAAACGGAUUAAUCUGUCUGUUUGCUUAUGAACCGUUCCAGGAGCGCAAACGUUCGCGUACAAACAUCACUAAAGACCUCAGCGGUGUUUGAAGGCAAAGGCUCCACCCGGGGCCUGUUGCAGACGGAAAUGGUGCUUGUUAGCGCUGCUGCUUUUCUGAAGUUAUCGCUGCCAGAAUCUCAUCGCUAGGAAAAAAAAAAAAGAGAGCAGUUCCCUGGCGGCACGAGGAGGCUUCCCAGCCUGUGGAUGUUCCCUUUCUCCUUGCAGAGCAGGAGGAAAAUGUCCCUUUCUCUUCCCAAGAAACUCCUGGCCCUCGCCGGCUGAUGUUUCCUGCCCUCCUUUGAGACCUCCACCUGAUGCUCUCGCUCGCCCGCCGGUUCCUGACCACGGGUUAAUAAAGGAUAAUAAACGCUAAGAGACGCUGCA
RNAcentral lists this long non-coding RNA (1222 nucleotides) under Struthio camelus australis. RNAcentral describes it as "lncRNA (ENSSCUG00000008766.1)". The record is from RNAcentral. Lineage: Eukaryota; Metazoa; Chordata; Aves; Struthioniformes; Struthionidae.